AUAUUGGACAAUGGACGAAAGUCUGAUCCAGCAAUAUCGCGUGGGUGAUGAAGGCCCUUUUGGUUGUAAAGCCCUUUUGUCGAGGAUGAUAAUGACAGUACUCGAAGAAAAAGUCCCGGCUAACUCCGUGCCAGCAGCCGCGGUAAUACGGGGGGGACUAGUGUUAUUCGGAAUGACUGGGCGUAAAGGGUGUGUAGGCGGUUUUAAAAGUUGAAAGUGAAAUCCCAAAGCUUAACUUUGGAAGUGCUUUCAAAACUAAAAAACUAGAGUAUCAAAUAGGAUAGUGGAAUUUCUUGUGUAGAAAUAAAAUGCAUAGAUAUAAGAAGGAACACCAAAAGCGAAGGCAACUAUCUGAUUGAAAACUGACGCUGAGACACGAAAGCAUGGGGAGCAAACAGG
This 399-nucleotide ribosomal RNA is filed under the name uncultured bacterium. RNAcentral's name for it is "bacterial SSU rRNA". It matches the Rfam family "Bacterial small subunit ribosomal RNA", at positions 361 to 776 of the family's 1533-position model. The record is from RNAcentral.